GGAUCCAGACUUUGAUUAUGGCUCAGGAUGAACGCUAGCUACAGGCUUAACACAUGCAAGUCGAGGGGCAGCGGGAUUGAAGCUUGCUUCAAUUGCCGGCGACCGGCGCACGGGUGAGUAACGCGUAUCCAACCUUCCGUACACUCAGGGAUAGCCUUUCGAAAGAAAGAUUAAUACCUGAUGGUAUGAUGAGAUUGCAUGAUAGCAUCAUUAAAGAUUUAUCGGUGUACGAUGGGGAUGCGUUCCAUUAGGUAGUAGGCGGGGUAACGGCCCACCUAGCCAACGAUGGAUAGGGGUUCUGAGAGGAAGGUCCCCCACAUUGGAACUGAGACACGGUCCAAACUCCUACGGGAGGCAGCAGUGAGGAAUAUUGGUCAAUGGACGAGAGUCUGAACCAGCCAAGUAGCGUGAAGGAUGAAGGUCCUACGGAUUGUAAACUUCUUUUAUAAGGGAAUAAACCCUCCCACGUGUGGGAGCUUGUAUGUACCUUAUGAAUAAGCAUCGGCUAACUCCGUGCCAGCAGCCGCGGUAAUACGGAGGAUGCGAGCGUUAUCCGGAUUUAUUGGGUUUAAAGGGAGCGCAGACGGGUCGUUAAGUCAGUUGUGAAAGUUUGGGGCUCAACCUUAAAAUUGCAGUUGAUACUGGCGUCCUUGAGUGCGGUUGAGGUGUGCGGAAUUCGUGGUGUAGCGGUGAAAUGCUUAGAUAUCACGAAGAACUCCGAUUGCGAAGGCAGCACACUAAUCCGUAACUGACGUUCAUGCUCGAAAGUGUGGGUAUCAAACAGGAUUAGAUACCCUGGUAGUCCACACGGUAAACGAUGGAUACUCGCUGUUGGCGAUAUACUGUCAGCGGCUUAGCGAAAGCGUUAAGUAUCCCACCUGGGGAGUACGCCGGCAACGGUGCAACUCAAAGGAAUUGACGG
Molecule: ribosomal RNA, 922 nt
Filed under: uncultured Bacteroidota bacterium
Lineage: Bacteria; Pseudomonadati; Bacteroidota
Description: bacterial SSU rRNA
Rfam family: Bacterial small subunit ribosomal RNA
Source: RNAcentral